UACGUAGGUGGCAAGCGUUGUCCGGAUUUACUGGGCGUAAAGAGCGCGCAGGCGGUCGGAUAAGUCGAAUGUGAAAGCCCCCGGCUCAACUGGGGAGGGUCAUUCGAUACUGUUCGACUCGAAGGCAGGAGAGGGAAGUGGAAUUCCCGGUGUAGUGGUGAAAUGCGUAGAUAUCGGGAGGAACACCAGUGGCGAAGGCGACUUCCUGGCCUGUUCUUGGCGCUGAGGCGCGAAAGCUAGGGGAGCAAACGGG
Molecule: ribosomal RNA, 253 nt
Filed under: uncultured bacterium
Lineage: Bacteria
Description: partial 16S ribosomal RNA
Rfam family: Bacterial small subunit ribosomal RNA
Source: RNAcentral